RNAcentral lists this ribosomal RNA (41 nucleotides) under Deconica merdaria. Its description in RNAcentral is "partial 5.8S ribosomal RNA". The record is from RNAcentral. Lineage: Eukaryota; Fungi; Basidiomycota; Agaricomycetes; Agaricales; Kuehneromycetaceae.
UACAACUGGUUCAGCAACGGAUCUCUUGGCUCUCGCAUCGA